GUCAACCAAUUGGAUUGUUUCAUUCAAGUGAGUACAAAUCUGCCCUGGAAUAGUUUAUUGUAGCUGAGUUCAUCGUCCCCGAACAAGGUCAGAAUAUUGAAGACAUUUUUAAGAACACAGAAUUCUGAACAUUCAUUCUCAUCAUGUUCCCCAUCCCCCAACAUUUGUAUUGUGCGUAUCUGAACUACUUGGGGACUUCUAUAAGAAGUCAUAGCCUGCUCCAUCUUGCUUUGCAUUCUGGGGACAGCUGAAAAUAGAGAUGGUGCCUACCGAAGAGAAAACUGGUGAAAAUGCCAUGUGGAUGUUACAUUGUAGGCAAUAAAGAAUACUAUUGAUUGACAGCAAGCAGAGAUCUUG
Long non-coding RNA from Hyla sarda, 357 nucleotides. RefSeq lists it as uncharacterized. The transcript is spliced from 3 exons. The record is from RefSeq and is a predicted model, not a curated record. NCBI's taxonomy places the organism in Eukaryota, Metazoa, Chordata, Amphibia, Anura, Hylidae.